Molecule: ribosomal RNA, 253 nt
Filed under: uncultured bacterium
Lineage: Bacteria
Description: partial 16S ribosomal RNA
Rfam family: Bacterial small subunit ribosomal RNA
Source: RNAcentral
UACGGAGGGUGCAAGCGUUAUCCGGAUUUACUGGGUUUAAGGGGUGUGUAGGCGGACUAUUAAGUCAGCGGUGAAAUCUCCGGGCUCAACCCGGAAACUGCCAUUGAUACUAUUAGUCUUGAAUGUUGUUGAGGUGGGCGGAACGGGUCAUGUAGCGGUGAAAUGCAUAGAUAUGACCCGGAACACCGAUUGCGAAGGCAGCCCACUAAGCAACGAUUGACGCUGAGGCACGAAAGCGUGGGGAUCAAACAGG